RNAcentral lists this long non-coding RNA (501 nucleotides) under Vigna radiata. Its description in RNAcentral is "long non-coding RNA (VRAD_LNC009268)". Lineage: Eukaryota; Viridiplantae; Streptophyta; Magnoliopsida; Fabales; Fabaceae. The record is from RNAcentral.
AAAUUUAGGUUUUGUAUGCAAGACGAAAAUAAACAUGCCAAAUGCAGUGAUUCAAUUGGCAAGGAAAAAACUAUGAAUGAAUGGUGUUGUUGGGGUUUACAAUUUAAUCUUAUCCACUCUCUUAUAUCUACUCUUCUUAUUUAAUUUUCUUAUUUAUCAUAUUGUCAUGCAAACUUUCUUGGUGUACCCUUAAUCCAAUCUCUUGGCGAAAAGAGCCUACUACUAAUUACCGGCUUGCUAUCUCUAGCCUCCCCUAGUAACUAAUAAUGCAUGAUAAACAGAAGCAAAAUACAAUUGAUCGUCCUACCCCUAUCUCUAGGCGGUAUUAGCUUAAUCAAGGAAUUCCCCCAGUUCAUGACAUUAUUGUACGUCUCCGUAUCAAUAAAGAUAAACAACAUUUACCGAAUGAGUUAAACGAUAAAAGCAUUAAGCAAAGGUAAGGAACCCAACAAUUGAUAAAUCAAGCAUAUGCAAGCAUAUAAAGUAAAUAAGAAUUUGGAU